UCGCUCCCGGCCGCCGCUCCCGCUCAGCCCCGGGCGCGGCCGGAAGCGCUGACGAGCCACGACCCCGGCGGAGGCGCGCCGGAAGUGACGUCACGCGGCGCGCCGGGCGUUGCUAGGCAACGCGGCCUACCGCGCCCCCGGCUUUGGCAUUCCCGAAUCCCGGCGUUUUCCCCUGGGAAAUCCGGGCGAAUGAAGGAGGGACGGGCUGGGCGGUCGAUCAAGAAGCUUCUCCAGUGAGCGUUCCGGUCAUGGAUCUGGGAAAAAAAAUGAGUGGGACAGGAAAACAGUUAGAUCUGCCAAAUGCUGAACUUCAUCCACAGCUAAAUCCAACAAGUUUGGGAUAACUCCAUGAUCCUGCGCUCCAAGUCUCAACUCAAACACAAACAAGGCUCUUUUGCCAAAUCCGUGCUGAAUUUCUGGCUCUGCUGCCAUGGAAUGCAUCCAAAAUCAGCUGGAAUUUCAGCACACAGGCAAAAUAUUGACUUGGAGCUGGAAGGGAACCUCCUGUUCUGUCCGUGCUGUCACUUCCAGGACCUGGAGGCCGCUGGGAAGAGCUGAGCUCAACAUUUUCCAGCUGGGAAUGUGUAAAUUCCUGUUAAUAUGCGGCAUGAGACUGGUGUUACGAGGCUGGAAUGAGGGUUAAAACAUUGGGAGACUCUGCAUUAAUCCAUAAAAAAUCUAAAAUCCCGA
Passer domesticus (house sparrow) is the source of this 690-nucleotide long non-coding RNA. RefSeq lists it as uncharacterized. Lineage: Eukaryota; Metazoa; Chordata; Aves; Passeriformes; Passeridae. The transcript has 2 exons. The record is from RefSeq and is a predicted model, not a curated record.